This 879-nucleotide ribosomal RNA is filed under the name uncultured bacterium. RNAcentral describes it as "bacterial SSU rRNA". It matches the Rfam family "Bacterial small subunit ribosomal RNA", at positions 56 to 935 of the family's 1533-position model. The record is from RNAcentral.
UGCAGUCGAGUGCGCGGUGUGGGUAGCAAUACUCGUACUGGCGCACGGCGCACGGGUGCGUAACACGUGGGCAAUCUGCCCUCCGAUGGGGAAUAACUCCGGGAAACCGAAGCUAAUUCCGCAUAACAUUCCCUAGACUCCGGUUCGGGGAUUCAAAGCCGCAAGGCGUCGGAGGAGGAGCCCGCGCCCGAUUAGCUAGUUGGCAGGGUAACGGCCUACCAAGGCAAUGAUCGGUAGCUGGUCUGAGAGGAUGGCCAGCCACACUGGAACUGAGACACGGUCCAGACUCCUACGGGAGGCAGCAGUGGGGAAUCUUGCGCAAUGGGCGAAAGCCUGACGCAGCGACGCCGCGUGGGGGAUGAAGCUUCUCGGAGUGUAAACCCCUUUCGACUGGGACGAAUGCCUCGCAAGAGGAGUGACGGUACCAGUAGAAGAAGCCCCGGCUAACUACGUGCCAGCAGCCGCGGUAAGACGUAGGGGGCCAGCGUUGUUCGGAAUUACUGGGUGUAAAGGGUUCGUAGGCGGUGUGGCAAGUCGGGAGUGAAAUCUAUGGGCUUAACUCAUAGUCUGCUUCCGAAACUGCUGUGCUGGAGUGUGGGAGAGGCGUGUGGAAUUGCAGGUGUAGCGGUGAAAUGCGUAGAUAUCUGCAGGAACACCCGUGGCGAAAGCGGCGCGCUGGACCACUACUGACGCUGAGAACGAAAGCUAGGGGAGCAAACAGGAUUAGAUACCCUGGUAGUCCUAGCCCUAAACGAUCAGGACUUGGGGUGCCGCACGUUCGUGCGUCGUCCCGGAGCUACGCGUUAAGUCCUGCACCUGGGGAGUACGGUCGCAAGACUGAAACUCAAAGGAAUUGACGGGGGCCCGCACAAGCGGUGG